This is a long non-coding RNA of Gadus macrocephalus (Pacific cod), 189 nucleotides long. RefSeq lists it as uncharacterized. The transcript has 2 exons. The record is from RefSeq and is a predicted model, not a curated record. NCBI's taxonomy places the organism in Eukaryota, Metazoa, Chordata, Actinopteri, Gadiformes, Gadidae.
AAAAUAACCCACUCUUUCUUUCACAUAUAUAUAUAACAAUAUAUGUAAGAAAUAUAUUCCUCCUAUAUUCCUUCCCCUCAUAAUCGUGUUUGUGUGUGUGUGUGUGUGUGUGUGUGUGUGUGUGUGUGUGUGUGUGUGUGUGGGGUUGGACAUCUGUGGAUAUAUAUUAAAUAAUAAUUAAGAUGUUUU